UACGAAGGGGGCUAGCGUUGCUCGGAAUUACUGGGCGUAAAGCGUGCGCAGGCGGUUCUAUAAGUCAGAUGUGAAAUCCCCGGGCUCAACCUGGGAACUGCAUUUGUGACUGUAGAGCUGGAGUACGGUAGAGGGGGAUGGAAUUCCGCGUGUAGCAGUGAAAUGCGUAGAUAUGCGGAGGAACACCGAUGGCGAAGGCAAUCCCCUGGACCUGUACUGACGCUCAUGCACGAAAGCGUGGGGAGCAAACAGG
Molecule: ribosomal RNA, 253 nt
Filed under: uncultured bacterium
Lineage: Bacteria
Description: partial 16S ribosomal RNA
Rfam family: Bacterial small subunit ribosomal RNA
Source: RNAcentral